GAGUUAUCAUGAAUCAUCGCAGCAAGGGACAGAGCUCGCGUCGACCUUUUAUCUAAUAAAUGCAUCCCUUUCAGAAGUUGGGGUUUGUUGCACGUAUUAGCUCUAGAAUUACUACGGUUAUUCGAGUAGUAGAUACCAUCAAACAAACUAUAACUGAUUUAAUGAGCCAUUCGCAGUUUCACAGUCUGAAUUUGUUCAUACUUACACAUGCAUGGCUUCUACGGUUAUUCGAGUAGUAGAUACCAUCAAACAAACUAUAACUGAUUUAAUGAGCCAUUCGCAGUUUCACAGUCAGAAUUUGUUCAUACAUACACAUGCAUGGCUUAAUCUUUGAGAGAAGCAUAUGACUACUGGCAGGAUCAACCGCGUAGCAUUCCUCAUUGACGCCGGCAUCGCAUGAGCGUGGCCAACCCAAAAGGGCACGGCCAAGUCCAAGGCGAGCACGACUGUCAUUCGUAAGGAGCAUUCUUUGGGCAAAUAGAAGCCAAUGAAGGCCCCGUGCCCAUUGCGUUUACCGAAUCCGAGAGCCCGAGCAUGCUAAGUCGUGGACCAAGCCAUUGCAAGGCGAAGCCAGGACGACCUGGGACACAACUGGAGCUUUUGGUUCACCCCGCACGUCGAACGCGAGGGGCGAAAG
This 637-nucleotide long non-coding RNA is filed under the name Nicotiana benthamiana. RNAcentral describes it as "long non-coding RNA (NBEN_LNC005716)". Lineage: Eukaryota; Viridiplantae; Streptophyta; Magnoliopsida; Solanales; Solanaceae. The record is from RNAcentral.